GGGGUCAUGGUGUAACGGUAGCACAAAGGGCUCCAGAACCUUUUAGUCGGGGUUCGAAUCCUCGUGACCCCACCA
Molecule: transfer RNA, 75 nt
Filed under: archaeon
Lineage: Archaea
Also listed under: 1 other name
Description: tRNA-Trp
Rfam family: tRNA
About the family: Transfer RNA (tRNA) molecules are approximately 80 nucleotides in length.
Source: RNAcentral